Molecule: ribosomal RNA, 253 nt
Filed under: uncultured bacterium
Lineage: Bacteria
Description: partial 16S ribosomal RNA
Rfam family: Bacterial small subunit ribosomal RNA
Source: RNAcentral
UACGUAGGGCGCAAGCGUUGUCCGGAAUUAUUGGGCGUAAAGAGCUCGUAGGCGGUCUGUCGCGUCGGCUGUGAAAACCCGAGGCUCAACCUCGGGCCUGCAGUCGAUACGGGCAGACUAGAGUGCUGUAGGGGAGACUGGAAUUCCUGGUGUAGCGGUGAAAUGCGCAGAUAUCAGGAGGAACACCGGUGGCGAAGGCGGGUCUCUGGGCCGAUACUGACGCUGAGGAGCGAAAGCGUGGGGAGCGAACAGG